UGGGGAAUAUUGCACAAUGGGGGAAACCCUGAUGCAGCGACGCCGCGUGAAGGAAGAAGUAUUUCGGUAUGUAAACUUCUAUCAGCAGGGAAGAAGAAAGUGACGGUACCUGACUAAGAAGCCCCGGCUAACUACGUGCCAGCAGCCGCGGUAAUACGUAGGGGGCAAGCGUUAUCCGGAUUUACUGGGUGUAAAGGGAGCGUAGGCGGCUGAGCAAGUCAGAAGUGAAAGCCCGCGGCUUAACUGCGGGACUGCUUUUGAAACUGCCCAGCUUGAUUGCCGGAGAGGUAAGUGGAAUUCCUAGUGUAGCGGUGAAAUGCGUAGAUAUUAGGAGGAACACCAGUGGCGAAGGCGGCUUACUGGACGGUCAAUGACGCUGAGGCUCGAAAGCGUGGGGAGCAAACA
RNAcentral lists this ribosomal RNA (405 nucleotides) under uncultured bacterium. Its description in RNAcentral is "bacterial SSU rRNA". It matches the Rfam family "Bacterial small subunit ribosomal RNA", at positions 355 to 774 of the family's 1533-position model. The record is from RNAcentral.